This 566-nucleotide ribosomal RNA is filed under the name Trichoderma atroviride. Its description in RNAcentral is "eukaryotic LSU rRNA". The stretch from base 187 to 340 matches the Rfam family "5.8S ribosomal RNA". The record is from RNAcentral. Lineage: Eukaryota; Fungi; Ascomycota; Sordariomycetes; Hypocreales; Hypocreaceae.
GGGGACUCGAGCUAACUCCCAACCCAAUGUGACCAUACCAAACUGUUGCCUCGGCGGGGUCACGCCCCGGGUGCGUCGCAGCCCCGGAACCAGGCGCCCGCCGGAGGGACCAACCAAACUCUUUUCUGUAGUCCCCUCGCGGACGUUAUUUCUUACAGCUCUGAGCAAAAAUUCAAAAUGAAUCAAAACUUUCAACAACGGAUCUCUUGGUUCUGGCAUCGAUGAAGAACGCAGCGAAAUGCGAUAAGUAAUGUGAAUUGCAGAAUUCAGUGAAUCAUCGAAUCUUUGAACGCACAUUGCGCCCGCCAGUAUUCUGGCGGGCAUGCCUGUCCGAGCGUCAUUUCAACCCUCGAACCCCUCCGGGGGGUCGGCGUUGGGGACCUCGGGAGCCCCUAAGACGGGAUCCCGGCCCCGAAAUACAGUGGCGGUCUCGCCGCAGCCUCUCCUGCGCAGUAGUUUGCACAACUCGCACCGGGAGCGCGGCGCGUCCACGUCCGUAAAACACCCAACUUCUGAAAUGUUGACCUCGGAUCAGGUAGGAAUACCCGCUGAACUUAAGCAUAUAA